RNAcentral lists this long non-coding RNA (2366 nucleotides) under Helianthus annuus (common sunflower). RNAcentral's name for it is "hypothetical non coding rna". The record is from RNAcentral. Lineage: Eukaryota; Viridiplantae; Streptophyta; Magnoliopsida; Asterales; Asteraceae.
AAAACAACAGCAGGCUGGCUACCUACGGACUGAAAAACAACAGCGACGCCUCCACCCUCACCCUGUCUCCUCCAGCCGACAACCGUCCUCCUCCGGCCGUUGUUCACAGGUGUGUUAACUGAUGUUAAUUUGACUUAUUGUUGAUAAUUUGAUGUUAAUUUUUUGAUUAUCUGAUGUUAAAUUGUUAUGUUAUCCAGAAGAAUAUUUCUAGAACUUAGAAUGAUAAUAUUUGAAAUUCAUAGGCUAAUUGCAUAAAGUUUGUGUUUUUAAACUGACCAAUUUAGAAUUUACUGCAUAAAGUCCCAAUCAAAACUUGUUCUAAUCGCCAAGUAAUUAAUGUUUAGAUUAACUAGUGGGCGACCCGAUUUUUAACAUUAAAUUGAAACGUGGAUGCGAUGAUAAAAAUACUGUUAAUAGCGGGCCGGAAUCCGUUGGAAACCCUUGCUGAAGCAAAACUGGUAACAAAUCAAUUAGAGUUAAUUGUGGUUUGGGCCAUUUUACCAAUUUAAUCCAAAGGUUUCAUUUUAUGCUUGUGAAACCUUUUGGACCCACAGACGAAAAAUGAAACCUUUGGACUAAACUGGCAAAAUGACCCAGGAACUGAAAUGACAUCUAACUCAAUCAAUUAUGUAAGAACCCUUAAAAGAUGCCCUAUAUUCAGUUACAAUCAAGGCCUCUUAUCCACACCUUUUGCCAGAUUCUUAGUCCUCCUUUUUGUUGUUUAAAACCAUAAGAUAAUCAUGUGAUUACAACAAAAGCCGAUGAGGUUCGUAUAAGUAAUUCCGUGGUUGUUAAGUUUUCCAAGUUUAUUAUCAUCCGGUGUUUUGUAUUUGAAUCACAUCAGGCUAAAACACACAACGACCCUUGUCUUUCGAAAAGCGAAAAAUAUGUUAAACGCAGUUACACAAGAGUUAAACUUAUGAUAACACGUUCUACUUUGUAUAAGUUAUAAACUUAUUAGUUCCACUUAUGUGUAUAAAUUGAAAUGCAUAAAAAGCACUAUUCAAAGUUAAAUGUCUUUAGCGUUUAGGCUAUCCGGCAAAAGUUAACUACUACCAAAAUUAUAUGUUUGCCUGCACAUUAAUGAACAAACAAUGUCUAACUAAACUAAAGGUUGAAGUUUUUACUUAUUUUCAUUAUGUGAUGAACCUUACCCAACCCGAAUCGUCGAACUGACCCAAUUUUUUUUAUGUUCGGACAUAUGAAAUUGGAACACUUAAAAAAACUUAACCCCUUGAAAAAAAUUCUGGAUCUGCCACUGAAUACAAUAUCUGGCAACGUGGAAUGGCACAUGUUUUAGCUCAACAAAACACUGGAUGUUGGAAGUUCGUUAUACGAUUUUCAAUGGUUCAUAAAUCACGAUGACAUUUAAUUUACUUUACUUUUAUUUUCUACGUAUGACAAUAAAAACAAAUAUACAUUAGGCUACAUCUUUAGUUUAGGUUGAUGAUUAUUAAUAUUUAUUUUUAAUACUAAUUUGAUCGUUUUAACUCGUUUACUUAUUCAACCUACAAAAUUUAAAAACCGAUUAAAAUAGUAUAUUUUCUAAUAGUAUCGAUACAUUUUUAUUAUAAUUAAUAUCAACAAGAGUAUACCAAAGAAAUAGUAUUAUCUCUGUACCUUGGCCAAAACACAAGUUUUUAAACCCUAGUAAAAAAAGUCUUGGUUCUCCAAAAAUCUUUUGGCCAAAACCCUAGCGGCCAAUAAAAAAACUAGUUCUUUGACAGUCUAACUGAGACCGGGUAACUACACGGAUCAAAAAUAAUAAUCAAAAAAUGUCUAGCCCUGGGCGUUUUCUCGGCUUUUGGUUGCCGACAAACAAGCAGCCCUAAUCGAUUUCAAUUAGGUGUUGACCUUCAUUUUACGUUCUACCUAACUUGGGUAAUACUGACCUCCGUUCUUCUUUUCCUUUUAUCGGAUUUCCCGAUAGUAUUCAAUUACUAAUUAGCGAUCUUCAAAAAAAAAAAAAAAAAUCGAGGCCCGAGUAAUAGGGGAAAACAAAUAGUAAUCACGAGCCUAAAGCUUUAAUACCAAUUGUUAGGAUUUGGCCUCUUAAACAACACACACAAACACGAAUAUAUAUUACUGUAAGAGAGAAAUUAUACAUACAAAGAUCAUGCGAGAUUUACGUGGUUCAGUUAGUUAACUUAUGUCCACAGGCAACAACCAUUGUAAUGUAAUUUUUUUUAUUGCUCUGCCUUACUCAUGAGAAAUUAGAAGUACAAGAUUUUUCAUAUUAUACCCUUAUACAAUUAGUAACUUGGGUUAUUUAACAUUUGUUUAAAAGUCACACCUUUAGUAACUUGGGUCAUGCCUCUUUGUUUAAAAAUCAUAUCCUUUAAAUUAAAAUAUCCUUCAUGUGUCGU